CAGUUCCAGGGUGCCUCAUGGUGGCUUUGCCCAUAUAAUGGGUGGCAGUGGAUUGCAAAAUUUUACAAUUGCUGCUGUGCCGUACACUGCAAAUCUUUUACCAACAUCAAGCACAUGUAUCAACAUGCUCAAGUUACCUGAAUACCCAAGUAAAGAAAUCCUUAAGGACAGGCUUCUUGUGGCAUUGCACUGUGGAAGCUAUGGUUACACAAUGGCAUAAUGAAGUCUAGAAAACUCAUCUGAGUACUGAUGUGCAAUUCAGAGCAGCAGAAGUAAUUUUGGAAACUGUCAAUAGAAAAGCGGCGGAGAUACCGCAACCCCUUGGCUGGGCUGGGUUUCAGAAUUCGUACAGGAUCCUCAGCUUUUCCUCCAUUAUGUUGUCAAAGUAACUUUGAUGCCAUCACAACAAACUUCUCAGUAUGCUGUCAUUUUUUAAAAUGACAGAUCUGUAUGGAAAUCAAUUUACAUGCUUUUCAUUAUUGUUUCUGAAUCGGAAAGUUUGUCAGAAUCUCUUUCCACAGUUUACUUUUGUUUUUCAACUCGAUGGUUGAAUGACAUUUGCGCUUUAUUUUACUUUGCACUCAGAUGGCAUACUGCUAAUGGACAGACUUGUACUUUAUGCCUUGUUGCACGUGAAAGUGCCAUUUAUUUUUGCAGAGAACGCUAUAGACAGUUCAAUUUGGAUACUGUACAGUAAGACAGAUCCGAUGUAUUUUCCAUUUCUUUGCAUAGUAACAGAAAUAAAAUUUUAUAACUUUUUAGUAUUUUAAUGUAUAUAGUAUGUAAAGAUUAGACUGUUAUCACUGGAGAAAAUAACAGAUGAAGUUAAUAUCUAAUUUAUAUUAGAAUUUACACUAUAUUCUGCUAAAUGUUUAAAGCAUUUGUGACUUUAUAGUCAACUUUCAGUUUAGAACUUGUAAAUAUAAUUUAAGAUCUAUAUCCAUUUGUUUGAAUGCCUUUACUCUUUCCUUAACAUAAUUGUAUGUUUAAAAGGUAUUAUUAAAUUUUAAUAUUUUUACCA
Molecule: long non-coding RNA, 1021 nt
Organism: Antrostomus carolinensis (chuck-will's-widow)
Lineage: Eukaryota; Metazoa; Chordata; Aves; Caprimulgiformes; Caprimulgidae
Exons: 2
Source: RefSeq, a predicted model, not a curated record